This 468-nucleotide ribosomal RNA is filed under the name uncultured bacterium. RNAcentral's name for it is "partial 16S ribosomal RNA". It matches the Rfam family "Bacterial small subunit ribosomal RNA", at positions 28 to 507 of the family's 1533-position model. The record is from RNAcentral.
GACGAACGCUGGCGGCGUGCUUAACACAUGCAAGUCGAACGGAAAGGCCCUGCUUUUGUGGGGUGCUCGAGUGGCGAACGGGUGAGUAACACGUGAGUAACCUGCCCUUGACUUUGGGAUAACUUUAGGAAACUGGGGCUAAUACCGGAUAGGAGCUCCUGCUGCAUGGUGGGGGUUGGAAAGUUUCGGCGGUUGGGGAUGGACUCGAGGGUUAUCAGCUUGUUGGUGGGGUAGUGGGUUACCAAGGUUUUGAAGGGUAGGCGGCCUUGGAGGGGGGACCGGCUCAAUAGGCCCAGGGAAAGGGCCCAUAGUCCUCCGGAAGCAAUGGUGGAGAAAAUUUCGCAAAAGGGCGGAGUCCGAGGUGAGCACCGCCGGGUCGGGAAUAACGGCUUUCGGGUGGAAACCGCUUUCGCCUGUGACGAAGCGUGAGUGACGGUAAUGGGUAAAGAAGCACCGGCUAACUACGUG